RNAcentral lists this ribosomal RNA (705 nucleotides) under Virgibacillus sp. DBT17. RNAcentral describes it as "bacterial SSU rRNA". It matches the Rfam family "Bacterial small subunit ribosomal RNA", at positions 51 to 742 of the family's 1533-position model. The record is from RNAcentral. Lineage: Bacteria; Bacillati; Bacillota; Bacilli; Caryophanales; Bacillaceae.
GAGCGAUGGAAGCAGACUGGCCCCUUGGGGGUGAGGUUUGUGGAUGGGUCGGCGGACGGUUGAGUACCCCUGGGGCAACCUUCCUGUUUGAUUGGGAUAUCUCCGGGAAACUGGUGCUAAUGCUCAAAAGUCUUUUCCAUCGGAAAGAGGAAAAGUGAAAGAUGGUUUCGGCUAUCUAUUACAGAUGGGCCGGCGGCGCAUUACCUAGUUGGUGGGGUAAAGGCCUACCAAGGCAACGAUGCGUACCCAACCUGAAAGGGUGAUCGGCCACACUGGGACAGAGACACGGCCCAGACUCCUACGGGAGGCAGCAGUAGGGAAUCUUCCGCAAUGGACGAAAGUCUGACGAAGCACCGCCGCGUGAGUGAUGAAGGUUUUCGGAUCGAAAAACUCUGUUGUUAGGGAAGAACAAGUACAAGAGUAACUGCUCGUACCUUGACGGUACUUAACCAGAAGGCCCCGGCUAACUACGUGCCAGCAGCCGCGGUAAUACUUAGGGGGCGAGCGUUGUCCGGAAUUAUUGGGCGUAAAGCGCGCGCAGGCGGUCCUUUAAGUCUGAUGUGAAAGCCCACGGCUUAGCCGUGAAGGGUCAUUGGAACUGGAGGACUUGAGUGCAAAGAGGAGAGUGCACUCCAUGUGGAGCGGUGAAAUGCGUAGAGAUAUGAAGGAACACAGUGGCGAAUGCGACUCUCUGGUCUGUAACUG